Molecule: long non-coding RNA, 433 nt
Organism: Orcinus orca (killer whale)
Lineage: Eukaryota; Metazoa; Chordata; Mammalia; Artiodactyla; Delphinidae
Exons: 2
Source: RefSeq, a predicted model, not a curated record
AGGAAAAGGGUGCUGAUCGAGUGCCCUGCUGACUCCAUGGCCUCUAUAAUGAGGCGCGUCCCGAACUUAAAGGGAAGAACAGAAGAAAGCAUCAGUACGGUAGCAAAGGAAUAAUAAUACUUCAAGGUGCUUAAUGAUUAAAUGAGUUAUCGUUUGGGCUUCCCUGGUGGUGCAGUGGUUGAGAACCUGCCUGACAAUGCAGGGGACACGGGUUCGAGCCCUGGUCUGGGAAGAUCCCACAUGCCGCGGAGCAACUAGACCCGUGAGCCACAACUACUGAGCCUGCGCAUCUGGAGCCUGUGCUCCACAACAAGAGAGGCCGCGAUAGUGAGAGGCCCGCGCACCACGAUGAAGAGUGGCCCCCGCAUGCCACAACUAGAGAAAGCCCUCGCACAGAAACGAAGACGCAACACAGCCAAAAAUAAUUAAUUAA